Molecule: ribosomal RNA, 790 nt
Filed under: uncultured bacterium
Lineage: Bacteria
Description: bacterial SSU rRNA
Rfam family: Bacterial small subunit ribosomal RNA
Source: RNAcentral
AGAGUUUGAUCAUGGCUCAGGAUGAACGCUAGCGGCAGGCCUAAUACAUGCAAGUCGAACGGGCUGGGGUAGCAAUACUCCAGUUAGUGGCGCACGGGUGCGUAACGCGUAUGCAACCUACCUUUUAUUGGGGGAUAGCCCGAAGAAAUUCGGAUUAAUACCGCAUAAUAUCAUUUGAGGGCAUCUGAGGAUGAUUAAAGCUACGGCGAUAAAAGAUGGGCAUGCGUGUCAUUAGCUAGUUGGUUGAGGUAACGGCUCACCAAGGCGACGAUGGCUAGGGGUUCUGAGAGGAUGAUCCCCCACACUGGUACUGAGAUACGGGACCAGACUCCUACGGGAGGCAGCAGUAGGGAAUAUUGGGCAAUGGAGGAAACUCUGACCCAGCCAUGCCGCGUGAAGGAUGAAGGCCUUCUGGGUUGUAAACUUCUUUUAUCUAGGAAGAAAAUACUCUUGCGAGAGGAACUGACGGUACUAGAUGAAUAAGCACCGGCUAACUCCGUGCCAGCAGCCGCGGUAAUACGGAGGGUGCAAGCGUUGUCCGGAUUUAUUGGGUUUAAAGGGUGCGUAGGCGGCGUAAUAAGUCCGUGGUGAAAGCCAACAGCUCAACUGUUGAACUGCCAUGGAUACUGUUAGGCUUGAGUACAGACGAGGUAGGCGGAAUGGAUCGUGUAGCGGUGAAAUGCAUAGAUACGAUCCAGAACUCCGAUUGCGAAGGCAGCUUACUAGGCUGUAACUGACGCUGAGGCACGAAAGCGUGGGGAGCGAACAGGAUUAGAUACCCUAGUAGUCC